GUCGGGCGGAGCAGUUUCUUUUCGGCUAGGUGGGGUGGGUGCAUUUUGUCAACCGGUUGAGUCUAUGAUACAAACCAGUCGCACCUUUUGAAUGGUAGCCGCAUACAGUUCCAAAGGCUUGGUGUCAGUCUGGAUCCAACCUUGAAAGGAGUUGAGGAUGGUGAAGAAAUGGAGGAGCCUAGGAGCAGAGGUCCGUGGCUGAAGAAAGCAAAAGCCCAGGUGAUGCCAAGCAGAAGGAACAGGCCGAGAAUGGAGAAAGCGUUUGUCUUGGUGGAGCUGUUGUACUGAGAUGUCCCUGCUGAUGGCUUAAGGAGAACAAUCUGUGCACUGUCAUGAUGAAUAUAUGACAAAGCAACGAGCCGCUCCCUCCAACAACACUGUGAGAUUCCUGAGUAUGAAGCUCUCUACAAAUGAUGCUGAGCCUGGACUUACCACCACAUUUGCUCUGCUGAUCGCUGUUUGUACGUUCCAAAAACAUUCCAAGGAAAAACAUUAUAUGAAUUAUGAUCAGAACGUACACGGACUAAUGAUGUUUCCUUUAGCCUCCGUGUCCACCAUUUAAAAAUGUUUUUGGAAACCAUAAACAGCACGUUCAUUGAAUUAGAAUUAGAAUAACGAGCGGACUGUAGAGGGCUGAAACAUGUAAG
Long non-coding RNA from Cyclopterus lumpus (lumpfish), 647 nucleotides. RefSeq lists it as uncharacterized. The record is from RefSeq and is a predicted model, not a curated record. Lineage: Eukaryota; Metazoa; Chordata; Actinopteri; Perciformes; Cyclopteridae. The transcript is spliced from 3 exons.